CAUUAUGAAGCUUUUAGCGCUAGCCUUUUAAGCUAGAGAUAGGGAAUAUAAGCCCCAUAAUGA
Molecule: transfer RNA, 63 nt
Filed under: Nannospalax golani (Golan Heights blind mole rat)
Lineage: Eukaryota; Metazoa; Chordata; Mammalia; Rodentia; Spalacidae
Description: tRNA-Lys
Source: RNAcentral